RNAcentral lists this long non-coding RNA (301 nucleotides) under Nicotiana benthamiana. RNAcentral's name for it is "long non-coding RNA (NBEN_LNC009869)". The record is from RNAcentral. Lineage: Eukaryota; Viridiplantae; Streptophyta; Magnoliopsida; Solanales; Solanaceae.
CUCCACAUAUGUGACACCAUCAAAUCGCAUUUGGUUCCUCGCUUUCCAGAUGAGUGCAAUUGUGGUUAUGAAUGCAGCAGCUGUUGUCACCUUGUGCCAUUGCCUGCUCUCGGCUAUACUACAUAUCCAGUUGAGUUCAGAUUCCCAGCAUCCUACAGUUCGAGAAUAUCCCAACCAAUUACAAACUCUUUUCCAUAAACUGUUUGUGCACUGGUGUGGUAUUAGAUUUGGCAAGAUGAGCUUUUCCGGUGAGAGUUUCGACAAGAGAUUUUGCGAUUUUGGGUGGAGACAUCAACGAGAA